This 551-nucleotide ribosomal RNA is filed under the name Meyerozyma caribbica. RNAcentral's name for it is "eukaryotic LSU rRNA". It matches the Rfam family "Eukaryotic large subunit ribosomal RNA", at positions 64 to 631 of the family's 3401-position model. The record is from RNAcentral. Lineage: Eukaryota; Fungi; Ascomycota; Pichiomycetes; Serinales; Debaryomycetaceae.
ACCAACAGGGAUUGCCUUAGUAGCGGCGAGUGAAGCGGCAAAAGCUCAAAUUUGAAAUCUGGCACCUUCGGUGUCCGAGUUGUAAUUUGAAGAUUGUAACCUUGGGGUUGGCUCUUGUCUAUGUUUCUUGGAACAGGACGUCACAGAGGGUGAGAAUCCCGUGCGAUGAGAUGCCCAAUCCUAUGUAAGGUGCUUUCGAAGAGUCGAGUUGUUUGGGAAUGCAGCUCUAAGUGGGUGGUAAAUUCCAUCUAAAGCUAAAUAUUGGCGAGAGACCGAUAGCGAACAAGUACAGUGAUGGAAAGAUGAAAAGAACUUUGAAAAGAGAGUGAAAAAGUACGUGAAAUUGUUGAAAGGGAAGGGUUUGAGAUCAGACUCGAUAUUUUGUGAGCCUUGCCUUCGUGGCGGGGUGACCCGCAGCUUAUCGGGCCAGCAUCGGUUUGGGCGGUAGGAUAAUGGCGUAGGAAUGUGACUUUGCUUCGGUGAAGUGUUAUAGCCUGCGUUGAUGCUGCCUGCCUAGACCGAGGACUGCGAUUUUAUCAAGGAUGCUGGCA